AUCGUUCAUCCCUCAAGCAACCGAGUGAAAAUACUCACCGCUAAGGGACGGAAGUAGGGACAACUCCCGAAGGAACGCGCC
Molecule: non-coding RNA, 81 nt
Filed under: Leptolyngbya valderiana
Lineage: Bacteria; Bacillati; Cyanobacteriota; Cyanophyceae; Leptolyngbyales; Leptolyngbyaceae
Description: Glutamine-I sequence
Rfam family: Glutamine riboswitch aptamer (glnA leader)
Source: RNAcentral